Molecule: small nuclear RNA, 130 nt
Filed under: Suricata suricatta (meerkat)
Lineage: Eukaryota; Metazoa; Chordata; Mammalia; Carnivora; Herpestidae
Description: U2 spliceosomal RNA (ENSSSUG00005008855.1)
Rfam family: U2 spliceosomal RNA
About the family: U2 is a small nuclear RNA (snRNA) component of the spliceosome (involved in pre-mRNA splicing). Complementary binding between U2 snRNA (in an area lying towards the 5' end but 3' to hairpin I) and the branchpoint sequence (BPS) of the intron results the bulging out of an unpaired adenosine, on the BPS, which initiates a nucleophilic attack at the intronic 5' splice site, thus starting the first of two transesterification reactions that mediate splicing.
Source: Rfam by way of RNAcentral
AUCGCUUCUCGGUUUUUUGGCUAAGAUCAAGUGUAGUAUCUGUUCUUAUCAGUUUAAUAUUUCUUUAGUCCUAGUUAUGUUCCAUGCUUAACAUUUGACACACGUUGUCAUUUAUAUUUACGCACGAAAA